RNAcentral lists this ribosomal RNA (503 nucleotides) under uncultured bacterium. RNAcentral describes it as "partial 16S ribosomal RNA". It matches the Rfam family "Bacterial small subunit ribosomal RNA", at positions 28 to 505 of the family's 1533-position model. The record is from RNAcentral.
GACGAACGCUGGCGGCGUGCCUAAUACAUGCAAGUAGAACGCACAGUUUAUACCGUAGCUUGCUACACCAUACACUGUGAGUUGCGAACGGGUGAGUAACGCGUAGGUAACCUGCCUGGUAGCGGGGGAUAACUAUUGGAAACGAUAGCUAAUACCGCAUAAUAUUGAUUAUUGCAUGAUAAUUAAUUGAAAGGUGCAAUUGCAUCACUACCAGAUGGACCUGCGUUGUAUUAGCUAGUAGGUGAGGUAACGGCUCACCUAGGCGACGAUACAUAGCCGACCUGAGAGGGGGAUCGGCCACACUGGGACUGAGACACGGCCCAGACUCCUACGGGAGGCAGCAGUAGGGAAUCUGCGGCAAUGGACGAAAGUCUGACCGAGCAACGCCGCGUGAGUGAAGAAGGUUUUCGGAUCGUAAAGCUCUGUUGUAAGAGAAGAACGGGUGUGAGAGUGGAAAGUUCACACUGUGACGGUAUCUUACCAGAAAGGGACGGCUAACUACG